Molecule: ribosomal RNA, 278 nt
Filed under: uncultured Bacteroides sp.
Lineage: Bacteria; Pseudomonadati; Bacteroidota; Bacteroidia; Bacteroidales; Bacteroidaceae
Description: partial 16S ribosomal RNA
Rfam family: Bacterial small subunit ribosomal RNA
Source: RNAcentral
GCAGCCGCGGUAAUACGGAGGAUGCGAGCGUUAUCCGGAUUUAUUGGGUUUAAAGGGAGCGUAGACGGGAUGUUAAGUCAGUUGUGAAAGGCUGCGGCUCAACCGCAGCACUGCAGUUGAUACUGGCGUCCUUGAGUGCGGUUGAGGUAUGUGGAAUUCGUGGUGUAGCGGUGAAAUGCUUAGAUAUCACGAAGAACUCCUAUUGCGAAGGCAGCAUACUAAGCCGCUACUGACGUUGAGGCUCGAAAGUGUGGGUAUCAAACAGGAUUAGAUACCCC